This is an RNA transcript of Cryptomeria japonica (Japanese cedar), 714 nucleotides long. It is a transcript of the gene named biotin carboxylase 2, chloroplastic, with no coding region annotated. NCBI's taxonomy places the organism in Eukaryota, Viridiplantae, Streptophyta, Pinopsida, Cupressales, Cupressaceae. The transcript is spliced from 5 exons. The record is from RefSeq and is a predicted model, not a curated record.
AUGAUUUUUGUCAUGUUUUUGUUAAUUGUUUGUGCUAUAAUUAUUUUAGUGGGAGUAUGAUUUAUCACGUUGAGGAUUGGGCUCUGGUCAUGUGCAAUUUAUAAUCAGUCAUGCAGAAUCGUUGCACAGGGUUCUUGAUAAUUUAUCUAGCUUCAGUUUUUAGCUCAGCAGUCAUCCAGCUGCAGGUAUAACAGCAAGCAAGAAGUGAGGCAGGUGCAGCAUUUGGAAAUGACGAUGUUUAUUUGGAAAGAUACAUAAAAAACUCUAGACAUAUUGAAUUCCAGACUUUGGACUUGAAACACCUGCCCCAACAUGACUGCUUCCCCUGUAUUGACUAUGACAAGAUUGUAUUUGCCUGAUAAAGGACUGGCUCUUAAUCUUCUCGCAACUGACUGUUAUGGGACCUUGGAAUCAAAGCAUGGACUGCUAUAUACUGAUUCAAAUAAGUAACCCUAUUAAAGAGCUUUGUAACAUAAUCCCUUUGGAUGUUCUAUAAUAAUAUAUUCAUACUGAUAUUUCAUUGAUAUAUUAUAGACACGAAUUUAAAUGGACUUUUGAUGAUUAUGGACCUUGAUCUUGGACUAAAGAUGCUUUGUUCUAGAUCCUUUGGCUGCUCAUUAAUAACUCAUACGUUUGAAUCUGGUCCUUUUGACAGUGAGUUGGAAUCAUUGUAUUUUGCUCUGCUCACUGCCCAUUAAUGACUGCUAUUGUGUA